This 366-nucleotide transfer-messenger RNA is filed under the name Brevundimonas abyssalis TAR-001. RNAcentral's name for it is "Alphaproteobacteria transfer-messenger RNA". It matches the Rfam family "Alphaproteobacteria transfer-messenger RNA". Rfam says of the family: Bacterial tmRNA, also known as 10Sa RNA or SsrA, is named for its dual tRNA and mRNA-like properties. Its role is to liberate the mRNA from a stalled ribosome. Lineage: Bacteria; Pseudomonadati; Pseudomonadota; Alphaproteobacteria; Caulobacterales; Caulobacteraceae. RNAcentral also lists the same sequence under 1 other name. The record is from Rfam by way of RNAcentral.
CCUAUUGGAACCCCGGCCCUGAUCGCCUAUAUUGGGGGUGUCCGGGUUCGCCCGGACUAUAGCGAUAAACGCGCUUGUAAUAAGCGGACCGGACCCGGGUGCGAUUCCCGGCGGCUCCACCACCUUCUUCCCCGCGUUAUCGGCGGAGGCAGCAUGGGGCCGACUAGCAUCGACGGACGUGUAAAGAAGAUUGCUUUCGCUCGUCCUGGCCCACCGUAUCGGGCCUUUAUCUAAAUGCGAACGAUAACUUCGCUGAGGAAUACGCUGUCGCCGCGUAAUGCGGUUCCGGCAUUUCCGACCUAAGUCCUGAGGGUUCAGAUCCUCAGGCGGGGCCCGGGAGGCGCCUGGCAACAGAAGCCUCCCACU